This 248-nucleotide long non-coding RNA is filed under the name Setaria viridis. Its description in RNAcentral is "long non-coding RNA (SVIR_LNC008415)". The record is from RNAcentral. Lineage: Eukaryota; Viridiplantae; Streptophyta; Magnoliopsida; Poales; Poaceae.
UAGUCAUCAGUCAAAUAUAUGUGAACUUUAAGCAUAAGAAACUGUACACACUAUUUUUAUGAUUCGUGGCCUACGUGCUUAUCACAAAACAACCUGAUUGUAUAUUCACCGGCAGUCCGGCACACGCCAAUCUGAUCUCCCUGCGCCCUUGGAUAGGAAUCAACAGUUGAACUUUUUUCUCGCAAUCUUUUGCAUCGAUCUUUUUCCUUCUUUUCCCGGCUGUACAACUACUACGCGUCAGGCGUCAC